This 826-nucleotide unclassified non-coding RNA is filed under the name Hevea brasiliensis (rubber tree). Lineage: Eukaryota; Viridiplantae; Streptophyta; Magnoliopsida; Malpighiales; Euphorbiaceae. The record is from RNAcentral.
GGCCAAGACAAGAAAACUCAAUGCGUAAAUUGAUAUGAAAGAUUACAAGACCUAUAAAGGGCCGAGUCACGGUCAUGCUCGUCAAAUUUAUAACCUUGCAAGGCAUCCAUCGCAGUGGCAGCAUGGGCAGGACUCAAAAAGUCAACAAAACAGAGUACCAGUGGAUCUCCUCCUGGACGCCUUGACUCCUUGCUCACAAGUCUCACUUCUUUGUAGCCAACAAAAGGGCGAAAGAUAUGUGACACCUCCCGUCGUGUACAAUCAGAUGGCAAGCCCUCUACAAACAGUGUACUGGUAGCAUCAGGAGGCAGUGGGGCCUCAGGUCUGCCACUUCCCAAUCCCAUUGUCCUGUCUUUUACAGUAGCCCCUGGGUCCAGUCUCCCAAUACCUACAACACGCGAAUCAUCAACAGGACGACUAGGCACUCCACUAAUUGGUCUAGCAGACUGUCCUCCACUGUAGGACGACAUAGGCGUGCUACGCAGGUAUCGAUCAUAGGAUGCUCCAAUAGACUCUGAAUCUCUAAUUGCACGGAGAGCUGCUCGGUCAUCAUCACGGGGAUAGUAAUUGGGCAGCUCAUUGCCACCAGGGACAUCAUAGUCGGAGCGAGGGCGUUUUCCGACGAGAGUAGGUAUGGCCUGCUGUUGCUGCUGCCGUGCGUCGCCGUAUCUCCAAUAGGCAUCGGCCAUAACUUAGGGAGAACUUUUAGAGAGAGAGAGAGAGCGAAAGAGAGAACACGGGAGAAGGAACAGAAGAGAAAAGCAGAAUUUAGAAGGACGAGUCGAGAGUUGAUUGUUGGAUUUGUUUAAUGUGGCAAAAGGCAACG